This 245-nucleotide ribosomal RNA is filed under the name Staphylococcus succinus. RNAcentral's name for it is "partial 23S ribosomal RNA". It matches the Rfam family "Bacterial large subunit ribosomal RNA", at positions 1983 to 2227 of the family's 2925-position model. Lineage: Bacteria; Bacillati; Bacillota; Bacilli; Caryophanales; Staphylococcaceae. The record is from RNAcentral.
CCGACCCGCACGAAAGGCGUAACGAUUUGGGCACUGUCUCAACGAGAGACUCGGUGAAAUCAUAGUACCUGUGAAGAUGCAGGUUACCCGCGACAGGACGGAAAGACCCCGUGGAGCGUUACUGUAGUCUGAUAUUGAAAUUCGUCACAGCUUGUACAGGAUAGGUAGGAGCCUUUGAUACGUGAGCGCUAGCUUACGUGGAGGCGUUGUUGGGAUACUACCCUCGCUGUGUUGGAUUUCUAACC